This 525-nucleotide ribosomal RNA is filed under the name Boeremia exigua. RNAcentral's name for it is "eukaryotic LSU rRNA". The stretch from base 165 to 318 matches the Rfam family "5.8S ribosomal RNA". The record is from RNAcentral. Lineage: Eukaryota; Fungi; Ascomycota; Dothideomycetes; Pleosporales; Didymellaceae.
CGUUAGGGACUGCGGAGAUCAUUACCUAGAGUUGUAGGCUUUGCCUACCAUCUCUUACCCAUGUCUUUUGAGUACCUUCGUUUCCUCGGCGGGUCCGCCCGCCGAUUGGACAAACUUAAACCCUUUGUAAUUGAAAUCAGCGUCUGAAAAAACAUAAUAGUUACAACUUUCAACAACGGAUCUCUUGGUUCUGGCAUCGAUGAAGAACGCAGCGAAAUGCGAUAAGUAGUGUGAAUUGCAGAAUUCAGUGAAUCAUCGAAUCUUUGAACGCACAUUGCGCCCCUUGGUAUUCCAUGGGGCAUGCCUGUUCGAGCGUCAUUUGUACCUUCAAGCUCUGCUUGGUGUUGGGUGUUUGUCUCGCCUCUGCGUGUAGACUCGCCUUAAAACAAUUGGCAGCCGGCGUAUUGAUUUCGGAGCGCAGUACAUCUCGCGCUUUGCACUCAUAACGACGACGUCCAAAAAGUACUUUUUACACUCUUGACCUCGGAUCAGGUAGGGAUACCCGCUGAACUUAAGCAUAUCAUA